This 380-nucleotide ribosomal RNA is filed under the name uncultured eukaryote. RNAcentral describes it as "partial 18S ribosomal RNA". It matches the Rfam family "Eukaryotic small subunit ribosomal RNA", at positions 592 to 976 of the family's 1831-position model. The record is from RNAcentral.
CAAUAGCGUAUAUUAAAGUUGUUGCAGUUAAAAAGCUCGUAGUUGGAUUUGUGGCGUACGGUGUGUUCCGGGCACUUGUUGUCUGAGUAACCUGCUGUUGCCAUCCUUGGGUGGAACCUGUGUGGCAUUAGGUUGUCGUGCAGGGGAUGCCCAUCAUUUACUGUGAAAAAAUUAGAGUGUUCAAAGCAGGCUUAUGCCGUUGAAUAUAUUAGCAUGGAAUAAUGAGAUAGGACUUUUUUGCCAUUUUGUUGGUUUGCGCAAAGAGGUAAUGAUUAAUAGGGACAGUUGGGGGUAUUCGUAUUCCAUUGUCAGAGGUGAAAUUCUUGGAUUUUUGGAAGACGAACUACUGCGAAAGCAUUUACCAAGGAUGUUUUCAUUAA